AGAGUUUGAUCCUGGCUCAGGAUGAACGCUGGCGGCGUGCUUAACACAUGCAAGUCGAACGGAAAGGCUCCAGCUUGCUGGGGUGCUCGAGUGGCGAACGGGUGAGUAACACGUAAGUGAUCUGCCCUGCACUGGGGGAUAAGCUUGGGAAACUGGGUCUAAUACCCUAUAGGACCGCAUCGUGGUUGGUGUGGUGGAAAGGUUUUUCUGGUGUGGGAUGAGCUUGCGGCCUAUCAGCUUGUUGGUGGGGUAAUGGCCUACCAAGGCGGCGACGGGUAGCCGGCCUGAGAGGGUGUGCGGCCACAUUGGGACUGAGAUACGGCCCAGACUCCUACGGGAGGCAGCAGUGGGGAAUUUUGCACAAUGGGCGGAAGCCUGAUGCAGCGACGCCGUGUGGGGGAUGAAGGCCUUCGGGUUGUAAACUCCUUUCGUCAGGGACGAAGUUUUUUUGACGGUACCUGGAUAAGAAGCACCGGCUAACUACGUG
This 487-nucleotide ribosomal RNA is filed under the name uncultured Corynebacterium sp. RNAcentral describes it as "bacterial SSU rRNA". It matches the Rfam family "Bacterial small subunit ribosomal RNA", at positions 8 to 507 of the family's 1533-position model. Lineage: Bacteria; Bacillati; Actinomycetota; Actinomycetes; Mycobacteriales; Corynebacteriaceae. The record is from RNAcentral.